AGGACGAACGCUGGCGGCGUGCCUAACACAUGCAAGUCGAGCGGGGACAUACGACGGAUAGGAAGUUUCGGAUGGAAUUGAAGAUGUAUUGUUCUAGCGGCGGACGGGUGAGUAACGCGUGAGCAACCUGUCCCUUACAGGGGGAUAACACAGCGAAAGUUGUACUAAUACCGCAUAAGACCACGGGGAGACAUCUUCCAGGGGUCAAAGGAGCAAUCCGGUAAGGGGUGGGCUCGCGUCCGAUUAGAUAGUUGGUGAGGUAACGGCCCACCAAGUCGACGAUCGGUAGCCGACCUGAGAGGGUGAUCGGCCACAUUGGGACUGAGGCACGGCCCAAACUCCUACGGGAGGCAGCAGUGGGGAAUAUUGGGCCAAUGGGGGAAACCCUGACCCAGCAACGCCGCGGGAGGGAAGAAGGUUUUCGGAUCGUAAACCUCUGUCCUUGGUGAAGAGGAAGAGACGGUAGCCAAGGAGGAAGCCCCGGCUAACUACGUGCCAGCCGCCGC
This 506-nucleotide ribosomal RNA is filed under the name uncultured bacterium. RNAcentral describes it as "bacterial SSU rRNA". It matches the Rfam family "Bacterial small subunit ribosomal RNA", at positions 26 to 518 of the family's 1533-position model. The record is from RNAcentral.